AGAAGCAGCCAUCCUUUAAAGAUAGCGUAACAGCUCACUCAUCUAGAGAUUUUGCGUCGAAAAUAAUUGGGGCUAAGCAUAGUACCGAAUUUGAGGAUUUCGUUUUUCUUCGGAAGAACGGAGUGGUAGGAGAGUGUUCCAAUCUGCUGUGAAGUAGGACUCGUGAGAGCCUAUGGAGCGUUUGGAAGUAAGAAUGUUGGCACAAGUAACCGCAAUGAGGGUGAGAUCCCCUCACGUCGAAAGAUCAAGGUUUCCUUGGUAAUGUCAAUCAGCCAAGGGUUAGUCGGGCCUAAGGGAAUGGAGAAAUCCGUACUCGAUGGACAUAGGGUUAAUAUUCCCUGACUUCUGUAUUUUGUGAUGGGACGACGGAGUGUAGUAUGUAUUGCUCAUUAUUGGAUUUGAAGUUUGUUUACUAAAGAUGAGGUGUAGGAAAAUCCGCACACUGCUUUCAAUGGCAAAUCUAAGGUAAAUGAAAAGUCUUAAGCCUCGGUUUAGGACAAUAAUACAAAGCACGCUUCCAAGAAAAAUCUCUAAACUUAAAAAUAUAGAAUCCGUACCGCAAACCGACACAGGUGAUCAGGUCGAGUAGACCAAGACGAACGAGUGAGUGGUCCCCAAGGAACUCGGCAAAAAAGCAGCCGUAACUUCGGGAUAAGGCUUGCCCCCACCACUUUGGAUAUUUCUAAGUGGUGGGGGCCGCAGCGAAAGUUUCUCUGGCAACUGUUUACCAAAAACACAGCUCCCUGCGAACUCGUAAGAGGAUGUAUAGGGGGUGACACCUGACCAAUGCCAGAAGGUCAAAUAUCGGCGGUGUAUGUCGCAAGAUGUAUGCAGACUGAUAUAAGCCCUGGUGAAUGUCGGCCGUAACUAUAACGGUCCUAAGGUAGCGAAAUACCUUGUCGGGUAAGUUCCGACGCGCACGAAUGGUGUAAUGACUGGAGAACUGUCUCGGGGACCAGCUCGGUGAAAAUACAAUGCCGGUGAAGAUGCCGGCUAAGUGCAGUUAGACGAAAAGACCCUAGAAGCUUUACUAUAACUUGAUAUUGAGCAUGUUUUUAAACUGCGUAGAAUAGAUGGGAGAGGUUUGAAGUGUACGGUUUCGGCUGUAUUCUACUCGUCAGUGAAAUACCAUUCUUUUUGAAGGCAUGUUCUAACCAAUACGGCAAAAACGUAUUGAGACAGUAUCUGGUGGAUAGUUUUACUGGGGCUGUACCCUCCUAAAAAGUAAAGGAGGGGUUUAAAGGUUAGCUAGGCGCGAAUGGAAACCGUGCCGAUAGUGUAAUGGCACAAGCUAGCUUGACUGUAAGAGGUACAUCUCAAGCAGGUGGGAAACCAGAACAUAGUGAUCCGACCAUACGCAUUAGACGCGGUGGAAGCUCAACGGAUAAAAGCUACUCUAGGGAUAACAGGCUAGUUCCGCCUAAGAGUUCAUAUCGACGGCGGAGUUCGGCACCUCGAUGUCGGCUCACCUUAGCGCGGCGGUGGAGAAGCUGCCAAGCGUAUGGCUGUUCGCCAUUUAAAAAGGUACGCGAGCUGGGUUCAGACCGUGUGAGACAGGUUGGUCUCCUAUCUACUGCACUCGUUGAUUCUUGAGAAGAUUUGCUCCUAGUAGGCCCGGACGAGAGGACCGGAGUGAACUGACCUCUGGUGUACGAGCUCUAUUGCCAAAUGGACUGCUCGGUAGCUAUGUCGGGAUUGGAUAACCUCUGAAAGCAUCUAAGAGGGAAGCCAGCUUCAAGAUUAGGAAUCGUUAAGAACCGUGAGAGAUGAUCACGUUGAUAGGCUUUAAGUGUAAGCACAGUAAUGUGUUGAGCUGAGAAGUACUAAUGUUUCG
RNAcentral lists this ribosomal RNA (1834 nucleotides) under Candidatus Nomurabacteria bacterium GW2011_GWF1_31_48. Its description in RNAcentral is "bacterial LSU rRNA". It matches the Rfam family "Bacterial large subunit ribosomal RNA", at positions 1108 to 2911 of the family's 2925-position model. The record is from RNAcentral. Lineage: Bacteria; Candidatus Nomuraibacteriota.